Molecule: ribosomal RNA, 379 nt
Filed under: uncultured eukaryote
Lineage: Eukaryota
Description: partial 18S ribosomal RNA
Rfam family: Eukaryotic small subunit ribosomal RNA
Source: RNAcentral
CAAUAGCGUAUAUUAAAGUUGUUGCAGUUAGAACGCUCGUAGUCGGAUUUCGGGUCGGGCCGACCGGUCUGCCGAUGGGUACGCACUGGUCGGCGCGUCCUUCCUCUCGGAGACUGUUCCUACUCUUAACUGAGCGGGAGCAGGAUACGGGACUUUUACUUUGAAAAAAUCAGAGUGUUUCAAGCAGGCAGCUCGCUCUUGCAUGGAUUAGCAUGGGAUAAUGAAAUAGGACUUUGGUGCUAUUUUGUUGGUUUCGAACACCGAAGUAAUGAUGAGAAGGGACAGUCAGGGGCACUCGUAUUCCGCCGAGAGAGGUGAAAUUCUCAGACCAGCGGAAGACGAACCACUGCGAAAGCAUUUGCCAGGGAUGUUUUCACUG